Molecule: ribosomal RNA, 601 nt
Filed under: uncultured bacterium
Lineage: Bacteria
Description: bacterial SSU rRNA
Rfam family: Bacterial small subunit ribosomal RNA
Source: RNAcentral
AAGGCCUUUACUGACGCUGAAGCUCGAAAGUGCGGGUAUCGAACAGGAUUAGAUACCCUGGUAGUCCGCACGGUAAACGAUGGAUGCCCGCUUUUCGGUCAUUAGACCGUGAGGCCAAGUGAAAACAUUAAGCAUCCCACCUGGGGAGUACGCCGGCAACGGUGAAACUCAAAGGAAUUGACGGGGGCCCGCACAAGCGGAGGAACAUGUGGUUUAAUUCGAUGAUACGCGAGGAACCUUACCCGGGCUUGAAUUGCAGAUGAAGGAUCCAGAGAUGGUGACGCCCUUCGGGGCAUCUGUGAAGGUGCUGCAUGGUUGUCGUCAGCUCGUGCCGUGAGGUGUCGGCUCAAGUGCCAUAACGAGCGCAACCCCUCUCUUCAGUUGCCAUCAGGCUAUGCUGGGCACUCUGGAGACACUGCCACCGCAAGGUGUGAGGAAGGUGGGGAUGACGUCAAAUCAGCACGGCCCUUACGUCCGGGGCUACACACGUGUUACAAUGGGGGGUACAGAAAGCCGGCUGCCCGCAAGGUCAGUCCAAUCAAGAAAGCCCUCCUCAGUUCGGACUGGGGUCUGCAACCCGACCCCACGAAGCUGGAUUCGC